RNAcentral lists this long non-coding RNA (210 nucleotides) under Elaeis guineensis (African oil palm). RNAcentral describes it as "long non-coding RNA (EGUI_LNC071333)". Lineage: Eukaryota; Viridiplantae; Streptophyta; Magnoliopsida; Arecales; Arecaceae. The record is from RNAcentral.
CACAAAUAGAUCAAUUAACUGAAUCUACCAUGAGGAGAAAACUAGGUCAAUUGCCAAACGAAUCAGCACCAAAUCUUAGGAACAAUCCAUCCACUCAUCAACCAUCUGGAUCUAGUCAUCAAUCCAAUGUCCCAUCUAAAAAUCCUCAAUUUGAAAAUGCCAAAGCAAUUACUGAACUUAGAAGUGAUAGGAUUCUUAAGGACCCAUACC